UGUUCGUCUUCGUCCUUUAUCCCCGGCAUCCCACCUCCUCUCUGAGACUCUGAAGCGGCGACUUUAUACUGCCUGAUAAAUCCCAGCAUUCAACCUAAUAAAUCGGAGCAUUCAAAAAGUGAAAACUUCUCAAGGGAGUUCAUCCGCUGCCGCCGUGUCCCAGCAUUCAACCUAAUAAAUCGGAGCAUUCAAAAAGUGAAAACUUCUCAAGGGAGUUCAUCCGCUGCCGCCGUGUUCUGCAGCUUUAAAAGCAAGUCGUGGUGCCAUCCGCCUCCACACCAAUCACGGCUGCCUGCUCGCGCCACCACCAUGCCAAGUAGCCUCCAUGCCCUACGGAUUUUUGCUCGAAGUUUUACACCCGCAAGAUUUGGGCUGCUGCUACCUCAGGCCAUCCGGAUUUCUUGGGAUUUCUUCCAGUUUUCUUGGGAUUUCUUGCCUUCUCUUUCAGGUUGAUGGAUCUUAAUUUCCGUUGAUUGAAUUGUCGGUAUGCUGGUAAUCAUCGACGCUGCACAUCAUCCCCCUCUUCAAUUGUGCUCUAGUUCCCUUGCUAAGAACUCUCCUGCACCGGCAUCUCUUCUUGUGCCCUUUGCGCUGCAUGGUCACAAAGUGGAGCCUAAGGAGAGUACGCCAAGUCGGCGGAUGGCAGGGGACCUUUGUGACUCUGUCCCAAGGCGAGUAUAUCCAGGGUUGAUUUGAUUUGAACCGAUGUGUUUGGGGCUGUGCAAGAACAAGUGAACGACAUGCUGGAGACCCAAGGUUGAUCUAGACAUCAAGUUGAAUGAGUCUGGUGCCAAGUACUUAUGUUACGGUUUUGAAGUUGUCGACACAUCUGGCGGUGAAGCUCAGGGAUAAGGGUCUGCCUCGGCCGGUCGGACGAGUAUUUGUGGUCAGUUUAAGUCCUUAAAUAUUUGUAUGUAUACAGCCGCAAGUUCAAUUGGUUCCUGUAAGCCAGCGUGCAAGAGGAUUCGAAUUUGCUCCAUUUAACACGUAUUAUAUCUUCAUGUUUUACUUCUCCUUGCACAUCAGAUCAUAGAUCUGAACCUCCAGACGCUAGAGUAUCACAAAUCAAGACCCUUGAAAAUAUAUCCUAAUUCUGAUGACUGUAUGGAAUGUUAUGGUCAACCCCUGCUUGAUCUGUUGUUCCAUUUUAUGUCAGAUUCCUUGCAGUGAAAACGUCGAUGCAGUCUAAUGUGAUUUUUUUCUGCUCUUACAUGUAGGACGCAGGAUUGCAAGGAUGAACCUAUAUGGCCGCUCUCCAUCUCAUGGAAGAGUAACAAAUAACACCCUUCAGAAAUAAAGGCAACAUUGGACAUCUUCAAGUGUAGCAGCCAUGUGAGUUGCAUGGGACUCGACAGUAGCAAGUCUGUUGUUUCAUUCUGACGUGCUCGGUUAUAUUGGCUACUGGUAUGUGGCAUGCACUCUUUGUUUGCUUAUAGAUAGUCUCUAUUAGCCCCAUACUGGUAGACUAUCUAUGCGUAUUACAAUGAUCUUGUUAUAACGAGGAAAUGGUGAGUUCCAAAUUCUUUGGCAAACAACAUUGUAUUGGGUUUGCAUUGCCAUUGUUACUGUCUUAACUUUUAAUGUCUUUGUUUCAGAUAUAGGUGUUGCAUGGAGAACAUAAAACAUUGCCGAAUCCCUUCAUUGUAUUGUUAGGUUUAAUUACCAUUCAAUUUCUCUAGGUUCUGUAAUAUUUCUUCAAAGCUUUGCAGCUGACGUAAUAUUUUUUCAAAGCCUUAUCGCUGAUGUAAUAUUUAGUUAGUUUCUACAGUUCUUUUCCGCAUUAUUUCCUAACUGUAAU
This is a long non-coding RNA of Lolium perenne, 1798 nucleotides long. RefSeq lists it as uncharacterized. Lineage: Eukaryota; Viridiplantae; Streptophyta; Magnoliopsida; Poales; Poaceae. The record is from RefSeq and is a predicted model, not a curated record.